GCAGUGAUCUGAUUACAUGAAAAAGAAAAUUACCAAAAAACAAGAAUCCAGAUAUUUGCAUAAAUGUGAAAUGACAAAUCAACAAUUAAAAUGAGUGUUUUUUGAUAUUCAUCAAAAAAAAAUGAAGGUCUGCUCUAACCCUGAUUGAAAUCACUCAUUGAAAUCGAGAAGCCCCAAGAAUAUCACUCAGUACAAAAAUGAAAGCCCCAAGAAUCCAGAUAUCUGCUCUAACCCUGAUUGAAAUCGUAGGUGGAGGUAGAUGAUGAAGUGAAUUAGAGACUUAGGGAUUUAGCAAUUUAAGGGAGAAUGAUGAAACAUUUCCGUGAACAAAUACUAAUCAGAAGUCCGACACUAAUUUAAAAUCACAGAGUAAACCAGCACUUACCUGGACUUGCCGGACUGGAGCUAGUUACCAAAGGACGUCGCUGAAAUGUUGGUAGUUGAUCGAAAACGCCGCUGAAACCAAAGGAAUCGCCGCUGGUGGUUGAGAACGAGAUUGGAGGAAAUGACUAAUGAGAUUGGGGGAAAUGAAAAAAAAUGAGGGAAAUAAUAUUGGGGAAAAUGAAAUAGGGGGAAUGAAAUAGUUAAAGGGGGGGAAUGAAAAUUAUUAAGUAAUUGCUAUUUGUAACGGAAUAUCCGUUAAAAAUAGUUAAAAAUCCGUUAUCAUAUAUAAGUUCAUUUUGAUAUCUAGUAUUUGUAAUGGAAACAAUAAAGUUAACGGAAAUUCCGUUACAAAUUCUGUUAACUUUGCUUAUUAGUAUUUGUAACGAAAAUUCCGUUAACCCUGCUUCGUCCGAACUGCCUACUUUUUUUUGUAGUGGGCACAUGUGCGCCAUGACGCACCAGAAACCUACCCUAUUUAAAAACAUUUAUUAAACUCACAUUAUGAAUAUGUUCAAAUAACCGUUGUUCCAUCAUUUGAAAACGUUUUUUGUGUUGUAUUUCCAACAUUUCCAUUCUUUUUUCAACGGCUUUGAAAACUGCCAAUUCAAACUUUUCAAUGUUAUGCUUCUCAGUUUUCUCAUUGGUCAUUUUCCUUCUCUUUUUAUUUGAUAACAUCGAUUCUUGACCAACUCUAAAUCCCAGAAUGAGGCCAUUUUUCUUUCCUUUUGAUGCUUUGAGCAAAGGUCCAAUAUGAUCGUUCGUAAAGAGAGACUUAUUUUAAAAUGAAGUUGAACCUUGAAACGAUAAGUUUUCGUUUUCGCUAUUUUCAUCCGAAUCAGAAUCACUAUCUUCUUGUCUUUGAAGCUCUUCAUUUAAAUUUUUAUAUUCGGC
Molecule: long non-coding RNA, 1275 nt
Filed under: Zostera marina
Lineage: Eukaryota; Viridiplantae; Streptophyta; Magnoliopsida; Alismatales; Zosteraceae
Description: long non-coding RNA (ZMAR_LNC001188)
Source: RNAcentral